This 404-nucleotide ribosomal RNA is filed under the name uncultured Candidatus Saccharibacteria bacterium. RNAcentral's name for it is "partial 16S ribosomal RNA". It matches the Rfam family "Bacterial small subunit ribosomal RNA", at positions 355 to 774 of the family's 1533-position model. The record is from RNAcentral. Lineage: Bacteria; Candidatus Saccharimonadota.
UAAGGAAUCUUCCACAAUGGGCGAAAGCCUGAUGGAGCAACGCCGCGUGCAGGAUGAAGGCCUUCGGGUCGUAAACUGCUUUUAUAAGUGAGGAUUAUGACGGUAACUUAUGAAUAAGGGUCGGCUAACUACGUGCCAGCAGCCGCGGUCAUACGUAGGACCCAAGCGUUAUCCGGAGUGACUGGGCGUAAAGAGUUGCGUAGGCGGUCUGUUAAGCGAAUAGUGAAAUCAUGUGGCUCAACCAUUAUGACUAUUGUUCGAACUGGCAGACUCGAGAAUGGUAGAGGUAACUGGAAUUUCUCAUGUAGGGGUAAUAUCCGUAGAUAUGAGAAGGAACACCAAUGGCGUAGGCAGGUUACUGGACCAUUUCUGACGCUAAGGCACGAAAGCGUGGGGAGCGAACC